This 27-nucleotide non-coding RNA is filed under the name Bombyx mori (domestic silkworm). Lineage: Eukaryota; Metazoa; Arthropoda; Insecta; Lepidoptera; Bombycidae. The record is from RNAcentral.
UAAGAUCGGGGGAAAGUCUGAUGCGGU